UGGGGAAUAUUGCACAAUGGGCGCAAGCCUGAUGCAGCCAUGCCGCGUGUGUGAAGAAGGCCUUCGGGUUGUAAAGCACUUUCAGCGGGGAGGAAGGCGUUAAGGUUAAUAACCUUGGCGAUUGACGUUACCCGCAGAAGAAGCACCGGCUAACUCCGUGCCAGCAGCCGCGGUAAUACGGAGGGUGCAAGCGUUAAUCGGAAUUACUGGGCGUAAAGCGCACGCGGGCGGUCUGUCAAGUCGGAUGUGAAAUCCCCGGGCUCAACCUGGGAACUGCAUUCGAAACUGGCAGGCUAGAGUCUUGUAGAGGGGGGUAGAAUUCCAGGUGUAGCGGUGAAAUGCGUAGAGAUCUGGAGGAAUACCGGUGGCGAAGGCGGCCCCCUGGACAAAGACUGACGCUCAGGUGCGAAAGCGUGGGGAGCAAACAGG
This 429-nucleotide ribosomal RNA is filed under the name Chloroflexota bacterium. RNAcentral describes it as "Chloroflexi bacterium partial 16S ribosomal RNA". It matches the Rfam family "Bacterial small subunit ribosomal RNA", at positions 355 to 776 of the family's 1533-position model. Lineage: Bacteria; Bacillati; Chloroflexota. The record is from RNAcentral.